GUUUGUGCAAGACGACUACAAAAAGGUUUCAAUAGUAAGCACGGUAAGUCUUAACAUGUUAUGACCAAGAAUUGUGUUUUGGUUCUAGGGGAAGUGUUACGUAUUUGGAUCCAAUUUGCUAGAAGUAGUAGUAAUGACCGCUAAACAAGUCACUACACAGAAUAAUCCAGCGCAUUCCCCAAAGUUUUGUGUUGUUUAAUCAAUUUACUGAGUAGGUGGAGCAAAAAAUUAAGAGCAACCAUAUGUCUGUCUCCUGAUCCAUUUUGGAUCACAUCUCUACUAAAUAUAUGUUUUUUCAAAACACUGAGAUGAUAUAUUUUGGGACACACAAAAAUGGAACAGCCAGAUGAUGAUUUUUCUAAGAUGAACAUGCGUUUUUGUACUUGUUAUUUCUUAGCAACCCAACCAUAUACAACACACUAUACUGCAGGUGUUUCAGUUUUGAUUUACAUCUUUGAUUUGAUCUAACAAAGCAUUUUUUAAAAGAAUAGAGUAAACUUCCAGUUCAAGAAUACUGGUAUCAUUCUAGAUUUGGUUAGGGUUUUUUUUUUUUUUUUCCAGCACUUUUGAAAUGCCACUGUAUUUGAAGGAGUGACUUUUGACUGCAUUGAGAGAUGGACAUGCAAUAACAGUAUCAAAAAGUAUGGGAAGAAAGUAUUAGUAAAUGCAUUAAGAAAGUCAGUAAUCAUUAUUGUUAGCAAUCCUGGUGUUUGAAAAAUGAGGUCUAAGAAGUUGCAAUAGUAAAUAAACCAGCAUGCAUACGGUAGCCAUUCAGUGAGCGUAAACCUAUGCUUGAUUCUUAGAAGAAUUGUGUCUGAUUUCCCAGGACACUCACUGCCAUAUGUAUGUUGCUUUCACUAAUGAGAUAUUUCUAAACCAUGUAAUUUUAACAUUAGAUCUCUAAGGGAUCUUAGGUCAUUCCUGACUCAGAUGGAAGAAUUGUUCCAAGGCAAGAAGGCAAAAAGAGAACAAGUGGAGUGUGUUAAAAGGGGCAAGAGUCAGUGAAGAACCAGAGUUUCCAGGUCUUCUGAGUUCACCAUGAGGAAAAUGUCAGGAAGAGAGAAAAGUGGAUGAAGGAUUUGUUCUGCAGCACUGAAAAAAAGCAGUGCAAGGAUUAAGAUGACUUAAUGCCUGAAGCACACAGUUCUGCUACAAGACAACAGGAACAGUUACUUCUGUGAAGCUCAGUACCAGGGAAUCAAUUGUCAGAAUCUGGUAAAAGAUGGGUCCAAAGCUCAGUUCUGAGCUAGAGAAGACACUUCUCAGUGGUGACUCCUAUGGGAUUACUGCCUUAGGAAUGCUCUGAAUUAUUGGAGACCAGUUAGUUCUUUUGAGGCCACGGAGAAAUUUCUAGAGUUUGAAAGAUUGAUAUCAGAGCUUUCAGAUGUCAAUGUAAUGGACUGACCUUUUUAGAAGUUGAUAUACCAUAGUGACACUGUCUGGCACUUAGAAGGCAGCCUUGAUUCCCAUAUCUGUAACUGAGCCAGAAAUGGAGUGCUGAGAACUUGCAGCAUUUAAACAUGUGGUUCAGAUUCCAGCAUGGACAGUUCUUCCAUAUUUGCUGCUUACUCAUGUAUGCUGACUUUUAAAACACUGUGAUCUGUUCUAGAGGUUGAUGCUGCCACCUACUGGAAGAAUUC
This is a long non-coding RNA of Gallus gallus (chicken), 1640 nucleotides long. The record is from Ensembl. Lineage: Eukaryota; Metazoa; Chordata; Aves; Galliformes; Phasianidae.